GACGAACGCUGGCGGCGUGCUUAACACAUGCAAGUCGAGCGGUAAGGCCCUUUCGGGGGUACACGAGCGGCGAACGGGUGAGUAACACGUGGGUGACCUGCCCUCAGCUCUGGGAUAAGCCUGGGAAACCGGGUCUAAUACCGGAUAUGACUCCAUGACGCAUGUUGUGGGGUGGAAAGCCUUGUGCGGCUGAGGAUGGGCCCGCGGCCUAUCAGCUUGUUGGUGGGGUGAUGGCCUACCAAGGCGACGACGGGUAGCCGGCCUGAGAGGGCGACCGGCCACACUGGGACUGAGACACGGCCCAGACUCCGUACGGGAGGCAGCAGGUGGGGAAUCUUGCGCAAUGGGCGAAAGCCUGACGCAGCGACGCCGCGUGAGGGAUGACGG
Molecule: ribosomal RNA, 387 nt
Filed under: uncultured bacterium
Lineage: Bacteria
Description: bacterial SSU rRNA
Rfam family: Bacterial small subunit ribosomal RNA
Source: RNAcentral